RNAcentral lists this ribosomal RNA (281 nucleotides) under uncultured Synergistaceae bacterium. Its description in RNAcentral is "partial 16S ribosomal RNA". It matches the Rfam family "Bacterial small subunit ribosomal RNA", at positions 1106 to 1382 of the family's 1533-position model. The record is from RNAcentral. Lineage: Bacteria; Thermotogati; Synergistota; Synergistia; Synergistales; Synergistaceae.
CGCUGCCAGUUGCCAACGGGUGAAGCCGGGCGACUCUGGCGGGACUGCCAUCGACAAGAUGGAGGAAGGUAGGGGGAUGACGUCAAGUCAUCAUGGCCCUUAUGUCCAGGGCGACACACGUGCUACAAUGGCCGGCACAGCGGGAAGCGAGGCAGUGAUGCCAAGCGGAUCCCUUAAAGCCGGUCUCAGUUCGGAUUGAAGUCUGCAACUCGACUUCAUGAAGCUGGAAUCGCUAGUAAUCGCAGAUCAGCCAAGCUGCGGUGAAUACGUUCCCGGGCCUU